Long non-coding RNA from Prionailurus viverrinus (fishing cat), 1516 nucleotides. RefSeq lists it as uncharacterized. The record is from RefSeq and is a predicted model, not a curated record. The transcript is spliced from 3 exons. Lineage: Eukaryota; Metazoa; Chordata; Mammalia; Carnivora; Felidae.
UGGAAGGAUGCAGGAAACGGCUCGGGCUGAGCGCAGGUGGAGGCGGCGCCCGAGGAGGCAGACAGUGCCUGCUUAACCUGUCCGUGGCCCAUCGACAGUGGGCAAGAGAGAGCAAGAGGCACCCAACAGACCACUUGGGUGCCAGACAUUCCUCCUUGCUGCCCACCGUGUGCCUGCAGUGUGGCCUCCUGAUGACCAGGGUCAGUUACUCUCACCUGCACGACUUCUCUCUCUGCGUGCCGGCCCCUCCGUCGCUCAAGUGCCCGGCUGGCAACUGUAGCUAAUAUUUCGGUGGGACUCCUGCUGUGUCCCAUGGUGAGGGCAUGCCCCCUUUUACAAAUUAGAACUAUCAACCUGGAGCAGCCAGAGUUGCAGGGACAAGAACAGUUUCCCAGGGUUUUGCCUCCCGCAGACUCCACAGUCUCAGGCUGAAAACGGCCUCCAUGCCGGAUGUUGGCCAAGGAAUCAUGGCUGCUCUUCAGGGCGACUGUCCUCGGCCACCUGAUUAUCGCCCUCGGCCACCUGAUUAUCUAUCCGUGAAUUCCUUUGAUGGUACAGAUUGAGGACUAACCCACCGGGGCUGCCCAUCUGUUUCACCCACUGGUGUUCUGUGAACCAUCUCUAAAGCUCACCAGGUGAACCUUCCUCCCCGACCCCUCGACUCGUUCACAAUAUGCAUAAGCACAGCCCUGUUGUGUCCACAUUGCUUGAAUAUCUGAACGCCGACACAUCAUGCCAGCUUGUUUUUACUUUAUGCCACCCCAGUUCGCUGCUGGUAAGAGUUUUACAACCUGCGCGUUCCCAAACUACCUACUUUGUGCCAGGGGCUUUUUGUGCUCCAGCUGCUAUCAGUGCGGAGGUCUUCGUGGCCAGCCUGGUGGCCGAUCCAGCUCCUAACUCCUGUCUUGGUAUCCCCUCCCCCAACCCCUUCCAGUACAAACUGCCCCAAGUGGGACUUUCCAGGAAGCAGCCACCGAGGUGCAGAUUGCUCUGUAGGAGUGCUCUUGGGAUCGGGACCUGGGAGGGGAAGAAGGUAGGGUUGGGGGAAGAGAGAGAGACAUUGUCUGAGUUCAGGCAAGGCAGACUGGCUUUGUACUCCCACACUGAGCAGACACUGGGUGUGGGCCGCCCAGGAGGGAGGGGGCUGUGACCUUGGGCAGGGCAGUCUCUGGCUGAGGCAAUUCCGAAGAGGGUUAAGUCGUUGAGGAUGGUGUUCCGGAAGCUGGGGGAACACAUCCCUUAGUCCUGCUGGGGGGUCUGGGGGGGGGGGGGAGGGGCAUCGCACCUUGCAUUACAUCACGUUCCCAUUGUCACACGCAAAGAAACUCCUAGUAUUAGCCAGUAUCUAGUGCAUAUUGAGACCUUCCCAUGGUCCCCAAAUGCCUUUCCUAGCUUUUUUUUAGUCCAGAAACUAAUUAAGAAUCACUUAUUGCAUUUUGUUGUCAUCUCUAAAGUCUUUUUUUUUUUUUUUAAUUUUUUUUUUCAACGUUUAUUUAUUUUUGGGACAGAGAGAGAC